AGUGAACGCUGGCGGCAGGCCUAACACAUGCAAGUCGAGCGGAUGAGUGGAGCUUGCUCCAUGAUUCAGCGGCGGACGGGUGAGUAAUGCCUAGGAAUCUGCCUGGUAGUGGGGGACAACGUUUCGAAAGGAACGCUAAUACCGCAUACGUCCUACGGGAGAAAGUGGGGGAUCUUCGGACCUCACGCUAUCAGAUGAGCCUAGGUCGGAUUAGCUAGUUGGUGAGGUAAAGGCUCACCAAGGCGACGAUCCGUAACUGGUCUGAGAGGAUGAUCAGUCACACUGGAACUGAGACACGGUCCAGACUCCUACGGGAGGCAGCAGUGGGGAAUAUUGGACAAUGGGCGAAAGCCUGAUCCAGCCAUGCCGCGUGUGUGAAGAAGGUCUUCGGAUUGUAAAGCACUUUAAGUUGGGAGGAAGGGCAGUAAGUUAAUACCUUGCUGUUUUGACGUUACCAACAGAAUAAGCACCGGCUAACUUCGUGCCAGCCGCCGCCGUAA
RNAcentral lists this ribosomal RNA (500 nucleotides) under uncultured bacterium. RNAcentral's name for it is "partial 16S ribosomal RNA". It matches the Rfam family "Bacterial small subunit ribosomal RNA", at positions 29 to 523 of the family's 1533-position model. The record is from RNAcentral.